CAAAAACAAGUCUUUUUGAUUAUAAUUUAAAGUCUAACCUGCCCAAUGAGGAGUUAAAUGGCCGCGGUAUUUUGACCGUGCAAAGGUAGCAUAAUCAUUAGUUUUUUAAUUGAAAGCUGGUAUGAAUGGUUGGACGAGAAAAUAACUGUCUCGAUUUAAAUUAAAUUAGAAUUUUAUUUAUGAGUAAAAAAGCUCAUAUGAGUUUAAAAGACGAGAAGACCCUAUAGAAUUUAAUAUAUAUAUAUAUACAUUAUUUUUAGAAUUAAUAAUAAGUUAUAUAUAAUUAUAUUUUGUUGGGGUGAUAGAAAAAUUAAAUUAACUUUUUUUAUAUAAAAACAUUAAUGUAUGAAAAAGUGAUCCGUUAAUUACGAUUAUAAGAUUAAAUUACCUUAGGGAUAACAGCGUAAUUUUUUUUUAGAGUUCUUAUCGAAAAAAGAGUUUGCGACCUCGAUGUUGGAUUAAAAUUAACUUUUGGUGUAGGGGCU
Molecule: ribosomal RNA, 485 nt
Filed under: Xylotrupes gideon
Lineage: Eukaryota; Metazoa; Arthropoda; Insecta; Coleoptera; Scarabaeidae
Description: partial large subunit ribosomal RNA
Rfam family: Bacterial large subunit ribosomal RNA
Source: RNAcentral